UUUUUACAAGUUACCCGUGAGGGAAAGUUGCAAAGAACUUUGAAGAGAGAGUUCAAGAGAACGUGAAAUCCUAGUGGUUGAAGCGGAGAGAGUUGACGUAGCUCGGCGGCUAAGCUUACUGUUGCUUCUUCGGAGGCUUCGGUUUGUGGUGUCCGCUUAUAGCUGCGCCGGCAGCGUUGUUCGAGCUUUCCGACCUGGUUAGUGUUGCCCACUUCGGUGGUGUCUUGCUGCCGGUGAGGUCUGCCGUAUUAACGUUUAACUUGCCUUACGGCAAGUGCCGGUGUGAAGGUCAGCCACCUUUCCGACCCGUCUUGAAACACGGACCGAGGAGUGUAACUUGUACGCGAGUCAGAGGGUGGAAAACCCUACGGCGCAAUGAAAGUAAAGGUCGGUUAACCGGCUGACAUGAGAUCCGUCCUUGUGGCGGCGCAUCAUGGCCCUGUCUUGAGAGCUUGCUCUUGGGCAGAGGUAGAGCGUACAGGUUGCGACCCGAAAGAUGGUGAACUAUACUUGAGCAGGACGAAGCCAGAGGAAACUCUGGUGGAAGUCCGUAUCGGUUCUGACGUGCAAAUCGAUCGAUAGACUUGAGUAUAGGGGCGAAAGACUAAUCGAACCAUCUAGUAGCUGGUUCCUUCCAAAA
RNAcentral lists this ribosomal RNA (640 nucleotides) under Oscheius sp. RNAcentral describes it as "partial large subunit ribosomal RNA". It matches the Rfam family "Eukaryotic large subunit ribosomal RNA", at positions 339 to 966 of the family's 3401-position model. The record is from RNAcentral. Lineage: Eukaryota; Metazoa; Nematoda; Chromadorea; Rhabditida; Rhabditidae.